This 688-nucleotide ribosomal RNA is filed under the name Bacillus cereus. RNAcentral's name for it is "bacterial SSU rRNA". Lineage: Bacteria; Bacillati; Bacillota; Bacilli; Caryophanales; Bacillaceae. The record is from RNAcentral.
AUGGCGCAGCUAUAAUGCAAGUCGAGCGAAUGGAUUAAGAGCUUGCUCUUAUGAAGUUAGCGGCGGACGGGUGAGUAACACGUGGGUAACCUGCCCAUAARACUGGGAUAACUCCGGGAAACCGGGGCUAAUACCGGAUAACAUUUUGAACCGCAUGGUUCGAAAUUGAAAGGCGGCUUCGGCUGUCACUUAUGGAUGGACCCGCGUCGCAUUAGCUAGUUGGUGAGGUAACGGCUCACCAAGGCAACGAUGCGUAGCCGACCUGAGAGGGUGAUCGGCCACACUGGGACUGAGACACGGCCCAGACUCCUACGGGAGGCAGCAGUAGGGAAUCUUCCGCAAUGGACGAAAGUCUGACGGAGCAACGCCGCGUGAGUGAUGAAGGCUUUCGGGUCGUAAAACUCUGUUGUUAGGGAAGAACAAGUGCUAGUUGAAUAAGCUGGCACCUUGACGGUACCUAACCAGAAAGCCACGGCUAACUACGUGCCAGCAGCCGCGGUAAUACGUAGGUGGCAAGCGUUAUCCGGAAUUAUUGGGCGUAAAGCGCGCGCAGGUGGUUUCUUAAGUCUGAUGUGAAAGCCCACGGCUCAACCGUGGAGGGUCAUUGGAAACUGGGAGACUUGAGUGCAGAAGAGGAAAGUGGAAUUCCAUGUGUAKCGGUGAAAUGCGUAGAGAUAUGGAGGAACAC